CUACGGGAUGCAGCAGUGAGGAAUAUUGCACAAUGGGGGGAACCCUGAUGCAGCAACGCCGCGUGGAGGAUGACGCAUUUCGGUUUGUAAACUCCUUUUAUAUGUCAAGAAAAUGACGGUAGCAUAUGAAUAAGCACCGGCUAACUCCGUGCUAGCAGCCGCGGUAAUACGGAGGGUGCAAGCGUUACUCGGAAUCACUGGGCGUAAAGGACGCGUAGGCGGGUUGGAAAGUCAGGUGUGAAAUCCUACAGCUUAACUGUAGAACUGCACUUGAAACUUCUAAUCUAGAGUAUGGGAGGGGGAGAUGGAAUUAGUGGUGUAGGGGUAAAAUCCGUAGAUAUCACUAGGAAUACCUAAAGCGAAGGCGAUCUCCUGGAACAUUACUGACGCUAAGGCGUGAAAGCGUGGGGAGCAAACAGGAUUAGAUACCCUAGUAGUC
Molecule: ribosomal RNA, 439 nt
Filed under: uncultured bacterium
Lineage: Bacteria
Description: partial 16S ribosomal RNA
Rfam family: Bacterial small subunit ribosomal RNA
Source: RNAcentral